GUCCCCGGCGUCCGGGCGCCCUGCAUGGAUCCCCCACCCCAGCUCCUGCUCCCCGGCGGCGGCCGGUGGGCAGAAAGACCGAAACCCACUCACGGCCGCCUGCCGAAUCGCGGCUCUGCUGUUUGUGGGGCGUGCUAGAAACGUGGUCCUAAAAAGAAUGGCGUCCAUUUACAUAAUGCUUUGUUUGCGUUUCGCAAGUUUCUUUCGGUUAAAGCCACAGAAACCCCACCUCCUGCCCUUGUGUCGUUUCCACCGCGGCACCCUUUUCCGACAUUAGAAACAAUAGUGUACGCCUGUGGAGGCCUCGUUUGUUCAGGGGCUGCCGGCCAGGGCUUCAGGACGUUUCUGCGGCUUUCCCCGCGCGGCCUGGGCUCCCGCGGCUGCUUUUCGGGCCCAUGGGCGCAGCCACUGCGCCAGGCUCAAGGGGGGCGGCCCCGUCAGGGCCCGCCAUCUUGGAAGGCCUUUUUUGCCGGUUCUUCCCGCUGAGGAAGUGUCGCUCAAGACGCUGGCCUAUGAGUUGUGAUUUCUGCCUUUUCCCCUUCCUCCUUGGGCUAAGCCAGACCAGAAAGGGCCCCGUGCGCAACGUGCUUCACAAUCUCUCAGGGAAAGCGGCUAACGUGGCGCUACUCCGCCUCCCCUGUUCCUUACCCUUGGGGCGGCCGCCAUGUUUCCUGAACACAAAAUGGCGACACGUGGUUAGCAUUCGUCGCCAACGAGAAAUUGGGGUCGGCCCGAAAGCUCUAGAAUGCACCCCUCUUCCUCCCCGGGGCCUUCCACCUCCGCGAGUUUUAUGACUUAAAAAAGCCCACAGGCUGGUCUGAAGGUCGGAGGCCUAAUUUUAACGCGUUUUCCUCCCUUUAAUUUGAAACGGGAACGCGAAUGACUGUAAAAUGUGGGCACAAUAUUUAAUCUCUCGCCUUUUUAAAGCUUAAUAGUGGAUAAUAGGGGGGCAGUAUCAAGGGAUAAUUUGGGUCCCCACAGUACCAAAGCAUUUAGAAACCUCUGUUUAAUUUAAGGAAUGAGAUAAGUUACUGCUUUUCUAGACUUCCUAGCAUGGGCUGUUGUGCUGGAGAGAACGAGAGCUACGAAGAGACUACAGUGCCUCUGACUUUUUCAUAGGACAGUUGGCCGGUGAAUCUUAUUAAUAGUUUACCACAAUUAAGUGUUCAUUUUUAGUCUAGAAGGGACAGGCGUUUAUUGUGCAUUGGCCAGUGCCAGCACAUCCGAUGCAAGGCAGUUCACCGUAUUCUAUCUUUAAUUUUUACCAUGGUCCUCUGAGGUAGGUGUUCUUAUCUCUCUCUCUCUCUCUCUCUUUUAAACAGAGGAAGACAAACAUAAAGAUGAAGUGCUUAAUUCAAGGUCACACAAUGUCGGGGAUGGACCUCCAGAUUUCCUUACUGGAAAACAAGCUCAGGGCUCCCACUGAUUGUACAUUAUGAGACGGAGUCUUGCUAUGUUGCCCAGGCUGGUCUUGAACUCCUCACCUCAAGCGAUCCUCCCGUCUUGGCCUCCCAAGUGUCAGGAUUACGGGCAUGUGCUAUCACACCCAACCUGAUACAUUGCCUUUAUAAAUUUUUUUUUCUUUAUUCUAAAAACCAGAAAAAACAAAACUGGAUACAUGUGCAGAACAUGCAGGUGAGACGUGGUCUUGUAACACAGUGGUUAAGAAUGUGACUUUGGAGCCAGCCUGCUAGGGGCUGAAUUCUGACUCAGCCAUUUACUAACUGUGUGACCUUAGGUAAGUCAUUUACCUUCUUUGUCCCUCAGUUUCAUCUCGGUUAAGUAGGGAUAAUGAUAGCACCUAUUUUAUAGGGUUAUUGUGAGGAAUAAAUCCAAGUAAAAUGCUUAGAAUAGUAACUGAAACAUAGCACUCAUUAGGAAUGCUUUAAUUUUCAUUUAUUUGAGUAUUAAAGGUUGAAUUUUCAGAGGUAUUUUGGACCUUUGUAUUUUUUCUUUAAAUCACUUAUUCAUGACUUUUGAACUUUUUUUUUUCUUUUAGAGACAGGGUCUUGGUUUGUUGUCUAGGCUGGAAUGCAGUGGUGCAAUCAUAGCUCACUGUAGCCUUGAACUCUUGGGCUCAAGAGAUCCUCCUGCCUCAGCCUCGUGAGUAGCUGGGCCUACAGGCGCCUGCUACCACACCUGGCUAAUUUUUUAUUUUUUGUAGAGAUGGGUUCUUGCAGCCCAGACUGGUCUUGAGCUUUGGCCUGAAGUGCUCCUCCUGCCUUGGCCUCUCAAAGCAUUGGGGUUACAGGUGUGAAGCACUGCACCUUGCCUACACAUUUUUUCCAAUAAUUUUUUUUAUUAAUUUGUAAGAGUUAACAUGUCGACUAUCAUAUAUAACAUAGAAUUGUUCCCAUUUUGUCAUUUCCUUUCAACUUUGUCUAUGUAGCUUUUUUUCUGUGUGCAAAUUUUACAUUUUUAGGUAGUCAGAAAAUCUCUUCCCUUGUAAUUUUUUCUGCUACUAGACCAAUGUUUAGAAAAAAGCGUGCUUCCCCACCUCAAAAUUAUAAAAAUAGUUACUUGUUCUUUUUGAGUACUGUGUGUGUUUAAAUCUUUAAUCUUUAAAUUUAAAUCUUUGAUCCAUCUGGUAUUUAUUUUGAUAUGAAGAGAGUGGUUGGGAUCUGGCUGUAUUUCUUUUUUCUUUUUUUUUCUUUUUUCUUUUUUUGACGAAGUCUCACUGUUGCUCAGGCUGGAGUGCAAUGGCAUGAUCUCGGCUCAUCACAACCUCUGCUUCCUGGGUUCAAGCGAUUCUCCUGCCUCAGCCUCCCGAGUACCUGGGACUACAGGCACUCGCCACCAUGCCCGGCUGAUUUUUGUAUUUUUAAUAGAGAUGGUUUCACUAUGUUGGCCAGGCUGGUCUCGAACUCCUGACCUUGUGAUCUGCCCACCUCAGCCUCGAAAAGUGCUGGGAUUACAGGCGUGAGCCACUGCGCCCAGCCUUGUAUUUUUUUUCAGUUUGGGUAGCUGUCCCUAAUUCAUUUGUUAAAGGAGAAGCAAGAGCAAGAACCUUUAAUCUGUUCUCCUCUUCCCUAAUUUGAAAGUAGCUUGUUAUUUUGAAUAUCACUUUCUCUGAAAUAGCACAUCUCCAUCUCAGAGAAUGGAUUUAAUGUUUGGAUACAGCCAAAAGUCAUUUCAUUACCAAACCAUGGGGUGAAUAUACCAUGUAAAGCAGUUUGGGAUCAGAACUCACAGUCUGAAUUGUAAGUGAUGAGACUGCUGUCUCUCUGCUACAGCUUCUUGGCUGGCUCUGAAGGCUCUUUGAAGGCAGAUCCUAACAAGGGGACUGCUUUGAAGGGCCAUUGUUCAUUUGGAAUGAUAAAGUCUAUGUUGUUCAAAAAACAAAUGCUUGUAGCAGGUAUUUUUUCACUCCAGACUGAGAAUAUUGGUGGGAUAUUGAUAAGGGGUACUGAAUGGUAAUAAACAUGUGCUCUAGCUCUGUGCUAGUCAGCUUAUUUCAGAACUCUAGUUUGAUUCAGUUUCUUGCCUCUGACUCAAAAUGGAGGGAGAGUGAUUUUUACAUAAGAGAACACACCCACAUAUCCUUUUGGCAGCAGCUACCUGCCAGAGAUGUUGAAGAAGAGUAGCCAACCUUUACACAGCAGAUAUUGUGUGCCAGUCAUAGUCCUAAGUAUAAUACCUUACAUGUAUAAACUUCUUAUAAGGUUGGUGCUCUGUACCGAAUUGAAUAGUAUCCCCCAAAAUUCAUGUUGUCCCAGAACCUAUGAAAGUGAUCUUACUUGAGGGAGGGGGGAGGGGGGAGGGAUAGCAUUAGGAGAUAUACCUAAUGCUAAAUGACGAGUUAAUGGGUGUAGCACACCAGCAUGGCACAUGUAUACAUAUGUAACUAACCUGCACAUUGUGCACAUGUACCCUAAAACUUAAAGUAUAAUAAUAAUAAAAUAAAAAAAAAAAAGAAAGUGAUCUUACUUGGAAAUAAGGUCUUUGCACAUAUGAUCAAGUUGAGAUGAAGUUGUACUGGAAAGUCUGUCUAGUGACUGGUGUUGUCAUAAGAAGAGAGGGACACAGAGGGAAGAUGGCCACAUGAAGAUGGAGGCAGAGAUUGCAGUUAUGCUGCUGCAAACUAAGGAAUGGCUCUGGCCCUCCAAGGAUUGCUGAUAACCACCAGAAACUAGAAGAGACAAGGAAGGAUUCUUCCCUAGAGCCUUCAGAGGGAGCAUGGCCCUACUGACACCUGGAUUUCAAACUUGUAGCUUCCUAAACUGCAAGAGAAUAAAUUUCUGUUGUUUUAAGCCA
Homo sapiens (human) is the source of this 4254-nucleotide long non-coding RNA. RefSeq annotates it as PCBP1 antisense RNA 1. The transcript is spliced from 4 exons. NCBI's taxonomy places the organism in Eukaryota, Metazoa, Chordata, Mammalia, Primates, Hominidae. The record is from RefSeq and is marked validated.